AUUAGAAUAGUUUAAAUAAAACACUGAUUUGUGGUAUCAGAGAUUAAUUAUUAUUUUAAUU
This 61-nucleotide transfer RNA is filed under the name Cacopsylla coccinea. RNAcentral describes it as "tRNA-His". Lineage: Eukaryota; Metazoa; Arthropoda; Insecta; Hemiptera; Psyllidae. The record is from RNAcentral.